Molecule: ribosomal RNA, 371 nt
Filed under: uncultured bacterium
Lineage: Bacteria
Description: bacterial SSU rRNA
Rfam family: Bacterial small subunit ribosomal RNA
Source: RNAcentral
ACGUAGGGUGCGAGCGUUAAUCGGAAUUACUGGGCGUAAAGCGUGCGCAGGCGGUUUUGUAAGUCAGAUGUGAAAUCCCCGAGCUCAACUUGGGAACUGCGUUUGAAACUACAAGACUAGAAUAUGUCAGAGGGGGGUAGAAUUCCACGUGUAGCAGUGAAAUGCGUAGAGAUGUGGAGGAAUACCAAUGGCGAAGGCAGCCCCCUGGGAUAAUAUUGACGCUCAUGCACGAAAGCGUGGGGAGCAAACAGGAUUAGAUACCCUGGUAGUCCACGCCCUAAACGAUGUCAACUGGUUGUUGGGUCUUCACUGACUCAGUAACGAAGCUAACGCGUGAAGUUGACCGCCUGGGGAGUACGGCCGCAAGGUUG